Molecule: transfer RNA, 153 nt
Filed under: Microcaldota archaeon
Lineage: Archaea; Nanobdellati; Microcaldota
Description: tRNA-Glu
Source: RNAcentral
GCUCCUAUAGUCUAGCCCGGUCAAGGACGAUAGACUCUCACUCUAUUAACCCGAGUUCAAAAAUCGCGGCAAUAUUUGACGAGAAACAUCUCGUCAAAGCAUUGAAUGGCAAUUCAAAAUUUGCCAGCAAAGCUGUCAAUCUCGGUGGGAGCG